Molecule: long non-coding RNA, 775 nt
Organism: Rosa rugosa (rugosa rose)
Lineage: Eukaryota; Viridiplantae; Streptophyta; Magnoliopsida; Rosales; Rosaceae
Exons: 5
Source: RefSeq, a predicted model, not a curated record
GAGAGCAUCAUUUAUGAUUUCAGGCCAUACAAAUACUGGAUGGUCUGCAAUAUGACAUCAUCCGGACGGGGUAUCACAAUGGUGGGUUUCGCUCAAGACUACCACUUGAGGAGCAGGAGAAAUAUCUUGGACGGCAGAAAAGAAUUGAACACUCCUUACAGGAACUUGCAAACCAGUCACAGUGUGAUGUAUUUCUUAAUGUAAGGAAUAUUGUUUCGUUUCAUAUGAUUCGUAGUGAUAUUGUGUAUGUCUUUGGGUCUGACCACCUGCAGACGAAGUGGGAAUUAUAAUUUAAUGAUUUUUUCUUUGUUUGUAAAUGAAUAGGGGAGUUCUGUCACUGCUUUGGGAACUUCACUUAAUGGAUUAAAGUUUGUCAGAGACGUUGUGGAAGCCUGCAUUGUAAGAAAUGUGAAGCCUGCAACUCUGUUCAGGUUGAUGAACUUUAGUCGUCAAUUGGGUGGAGAGUCGGACAAUCUUGAGAUGGAUGUAUUAGGGUUUGAAACAGUAACGAAAAGAAAACGGACGGAGGAGAAGAGAAAGAAUGAUGUUCAUGUUGUCAUCAUGUCCGAGCCAACAGCAGCUGCGAUGGAGGGGCAGCAUGGAGAAUCGUCGGAUCCAUUGGACAAAGCCCUGUUCGGCCCUUCGUUGAACAAAGCUGGCAUGCUCGUCUGUGGUGCCUUCUUCUCUGAAAAGCGAGCCAAAGUAUUGGAAGAAGAACGGCCCAUUGUGGAAUCAGCCUUGGAACAGUAUGGCAUUUCAUGCACAAUUUAUCUGG